GGUUAAGCGACUAAGCGUACACGGUGGAUGCCCUGGCAGUCAGAGGCGAUGAAGGACGUGCUAAUCUGCGAUAAGCGCCGGUAAGGUGAUAUGAACCGUUAUAACCGGCGAUUUCCGAAUGGGGAAACCCAGUGUGAUUCGUCACACUAUCAUUAACUGAAUCCAUAGGUUAAUGAGGCGAACCGGGGGAACUGAAACAUCUAAGUACCCCGAGGAAAAGAAAUCAACCGAGAUUCCCCCAGUAGCGGCGAGCGAACGGGGAGGAGCCCAGAGCCUGAAUCAGCAUGUGUGUUAGUGGAAGCGUCUGGAAAGGCGCGCGAUACAGGGUGACAGCCCCGUACACAAAAGCGCAUGUGCUGUGAGCUCGAUGAGUAGGGCGGGACACGUGGUAUCCUGUCUGAAUAUGGGGGGACCAUCCUCCAAGGCUAAAUACUCCUGACUGACCGAUAGUGAACCAGUACCGUGAGGGAAAGGCGAAAAGAACCCCGGCGAGGGGAGUGAAAAAGAACCUGAAACCGUGUACGUACAAGCAGUGGGAGCACAGGUUUACCUGUGUGACUGCGUACCUUUUGUAUAAUGGGUCAGCGACUUAUAUUCUGUAGCAAGGUUAACCGUAUAGGGGAGCCGUAGGGAAACCGAGUCUUAACCGGGCGUUAAGUUGCAGGGUAUAGACCCGAAACCCGGUGAUCUAGCCAUGGGCAGGUUGAAGGUUGGGUAACACUAACUGGAGGACCGAACCGACUAAUGUUGAAAAAUUAAGCGGAUGACCUGUGGCUGGGGGUGAAAGGCCAAUCAAACCGGGAGAUAGCUGGUUCUCCCCGAAAGCUAUUUAGGUAGCGCCUCGUGAAUUCAUCUCCGGGGGUAGAGCACUGUUUCGGCUAGGGGGCCAUCCCGGCUUACCAACCCGAUGCAAACUGCGAAUACCGGAGAAUGUUAUCACGGGAGACACACGGCGGGUGCUAACGUCCGUCGUGAAGAGGGAAACAACCCAGACCGCCAGCUAAGGUCCCAAAGUCAUGGUUAAGUGGGAAACGAUGUGGGAAGGCCCAGACAGCCAGGAUGUUGGCUUAGAAGCAGCCAUCAUUUAAAGAAAGCGUAAUAGCUCACUGGUCGAGUCGGCCUGCGCGGAAGAUGUAACGGGGCUAAACCAUGCACCGAAGCUGCGGCAGCGAACGUAUCACUUAAAGCGAUUCAGCGGGUUACGAUUGACGGAGCGAAGCGACGUCAAAGCGUAUACAAAGUCGAGUCGGUUUAAGGAUACGUUCGUUGGGUAGGGGAGCGUUCUGUAAGCCUGUGAAGGUGGCCUGUGAGGGUUGCUGGAGGUAUCAGAAGUGCGAAUGCUGACAUAAGUAACGAUAAAGCGGGUGAAAGCCCGCUCGCCGGAGACCARGKSUKYC
This 1397-nucleotide ribosomal RNA is filed under the name Salmonella enterica subsp. enterica serovar Heidelberg str. B182. RNAcentral describes it as "bacterial LSU rRNA". It matches the Rfam family "Bacterial large subunit ribosomal RNA", at positions 1 to 1356 of the family's 2925-position model. Lineage: Bacteria; Pseudomonadati; Pseudomonadota; Gammaproteobacteria; Enterobacterales; Enterobacteriaceae. The record is from RNAcentral.